Molecule: ribosomal RNA, 497 nt
Filed under: uncultured bacterium
Lineage: Bacteria
Description: partial 16S ribosomal RNA
Rfam family: Bacterial small subunit ribosomal RNA
Source: RNAcentral
GAUGAACGCUGGCUGCGUGCCUAAUCCAUGCAAGUCGAGCGAACGUACGAGAAGCUUGCUUCUCUGAUUUUAGCGGCGGACGGGUGAGUAACAUGUGGAUAACCUACCUAUAAGACUGGGCUAACUUCGGGAAACCUGAGCUACUACCGGAUAAUAUUUUGAACCGCAUGGUUCAAUAGUGAAAUACGGUCUUGCUGUCACUUAUAGAUGGAUCCGCGCUGCAUUCGCUAGUUGGUAAGGUAACGGCUUACCAAGGCAACGAUGCAUAGCAGACCUGAGAGGGUGAUACGCCCCACUGGAACUGCACCACGGUCCAGACUCCUACGGGAGGCAGCAGUAGGCAAUCUUCCGCAAUGGGCGGAAGCCUGACGGAGCAACGCCGCGUGAGUGAUGAAGGUCUUCGGAUCGUAAAACUCUGUUAUUAGGGAAGAACAUAUGUGUAAGCAACUGUGCACAUCUUGACGGUACCUAAUCAGAAAGCCACGGCUAACUCCGUG